RNAcentral lists this ribosomal RNA (1489 nucleotides) under metagenome. RNAcentral describes it as "bacterial SSU rRNA". It matches the Rfam family "Bacterial small subunit ribosomal RNA". The record is from RNAcentral.
AGAGUUUGAUCCUGGCUCAGGACGAACGCUGGCGGCGUGCUUAACACAUGCAAGUGGGACGAAAUAUUAUGGAUGAAAUUUUUCGAAGUGGAUUUUAUAAUGUUUAGUCGCGGACGGGUGAGUAAUGCGUGAGAACCUGUCCUGAAGAGGGGUCCAGCCCAGGGAAACCUGGAUUAAUACCCCAUAAGCCUACGGGUGAAAGGAGUAAUCCGCUUCGGGAGGGGCUCGCGUCCUAUCAGCUAGUUGGUGAGGUAAGAGCUCACCAAGGCUAAGACGGGUAGCCGGACUGAGAGGUUGAACGGCCACAUUGGAACUGAGAUACGGUCCAGACUCCUACGGGAGGCAGCAGUGGGGAAUAUUGGGCAAUGGGCGAAAGCCUGACCCAGCGACGCCGCGUGAGGGAAGACGGCCUUCGGGUUGUAAACCUCUGUUGCAGGGGAAGAAUAAGAUGACGGUACCCUGUUAGAAAGCCCCGGCAAACUACGUGCCAGCAGCCGCGGUAACACGUAGGGGGCGAGCGUUGUCCGGAAUUACUGGGCGUAAAGAGUACGUAGGCUGUUGUAUAAGUCAGAUGUAAAAGGCAUGGGCUUAACCUGUGUGUGCAUCUGAAACUGUACAACUGGAGAUGUAGAGAGGCAAGCGGAAUUCCCUGUGUAGCGGUGAAAUGCGUAGAUAUAGGGAAGAACACCAGUGGCGAAGGCGGCUUGCUAGCUACAUACUGACGCUGAGGUACGAAAGCCAGGGGAGCGAACCGGAUUAGAUACCCGGGUAGUCCUGGCCGUAAACGAUGAAUGCUAGGUGUGGGGGAUUCGAUUCUUCUGUGCCGCAGUUAACGCAUUAAGCAUUCCGCCUGGGGAGUACGGUCGCAAGAUUGAAACUCAAAGGAAUUGACGGGGGCCCGCACAAGCGGUGGAGCACGUGGUUUAAUUCGAUGCAAACCGAAGAACCUUACCUGGGCUUGACAUACAGGUAGUACUGAUUUGAAAGAUGAUGGAUCAUACCUUCGGGUAUGAAGCCUGAACAGGUGCUGCAUGGCUGUCGUCAGCUCGUGUCGUGAGAUGUUGGGUUAAGUCCCGCAACGAGCGCAACCCCUAUUAUCAGUUGCUAACAGGUUAUGCUGAGCACUCUGGUGAGACUGCCGGCGACAAGCCGGAGGAAGGUGGGGACGACGUCAAGUCAUCAUGGCCCUUAUGCCCAGGGCAACACACAUGCUACAAUGGCCGGUACAAAGGGAAGCGAUCCUGCGAGGGUGAGCGGAUCCCAUAAAGCCGGUCCCAGUUCGGAUUGCAGUCUGAAACUCGAGUGCAUGAAGAUGGAAUCGCUAGUAAUCGCGAAUCAGAUAAGUCGCGGUGAAUACGUUCCCGGGCCUUGUACACACCGCCCGUCACACCAUCCGAGUUGGGUGCACCCGAAGCCGGUGGCUGAACCCUUUUGGGGACAGAGCUGUCUAAGGUGUGUUCGGUAAGGAGGGUGAAGUCGUAACAAGGUA